GAUGAACGCUGGCGGCGUGCCUAAUACAUGCCAGUAGAACGCUGAAGGAGGAGCUUGCUCUUCUGGAUGAGUUGCGAACGGGUGAGUAACGCGUAGGUAACCUGCCUGGUAGCGGGGGAUAACUAUUGGAAACGAUAGCUAAUACCGCAUGACAACAGUUAUUGCAUGAUAACUGUUUAAAAGGGGCAACUGCUCCACUACCAGAUGGACCUGCGUUGUAUUAGCUAGUUGGUGAGGUAACGGCUCACCAAGGCGACGAUACAUAGCCGACCUGAGAGGGUGAUCGGCCACACUGGGACUGAGACACGGCCCAGACGCCUACGGGAGGCAGCAGUAGGGAAUCUUCGGCAAUGGACGGAAGUCUGACCGAGCAACGCCGCGGGAGUGAAGAAGGUUUUCGGAUCGUAAAGCUCGGUUGUAAGAGAAGAACGAGUGUGAGAGUGGAAAGUUCACACUGUGACGGUAUCUGACCAGAAAGGGACGGCUAACUACGUG
Molecule: ribosomal RNA, 495 nt
Filed under: uncultured bacterium
Lineage: Bacteria
Description: partial 16S ribosomal RNA
Rfam family: Bacterial small subunit ribosomal RNA
Source: RNAcentral